AGGACGAACGCUGGCGGCGUGCUUAACACAUGCAAGUCGAACGGAAAGGCCCGCUUGCGGGUACUCGAGUGGCGAACGGGUGAGUAACACGUGGGCAACCUGCCCUCAGCUCUGGGAUAACUCCGGGAAACCGGUGCUAAUACUGGAUAUCGACUUCUGCCUCGCAUGGGGUGUUGUUGAAAGUUUUUCGGCUGGGGAUGGGCCCGCGGCCUACCAGCUUGUUGGUGGGGUGAUGGCCUACCAAGGCGACGACGGGUA
Molecule: ribosomal RNA, 258 nt
Filed under: uncultured bacterium
Lineage: Bacteria
Description: partial small subunit ribosomal RNA
Rfam family: Bacterial small subunit ribosomal RNA
Source: RNAcentral